This 26-nucleotide non-coding RNA is filed under the name Cricetulus griseus (Chinese hamster). Lineage: Eukaryota; Metazoa; Chordata; Mammalia; Rodentia; Cricetidae. The record is from RNAcentral.
CUACUGUUUUCUACCAUCUGGGUGGG